Molecule: unclassified non-coding RNA, 662 nt
Filed under: Alpinia eubractea
Lineage: Eukaryota; Viridiplantae; Streptophyta; Magnoliopsida; Zingiberales; Zingiberaceae
Description: sequence contains ITS1, 5.8S rRNA gene and ITS2
Rfam family: 5.8S ribosomal RNA (bases 219-374)
Source: RNAcentral
UUUCCGUAGGUGAACCUGCGGAAGGAUCAUUGUUGAGAGAGCAUUGAACAACGGAUGGUUGUGAACGUGUCAACGUGCCCGUCUCCUAGGCCCCAUGUUGGUGGCCAACCGACCGUAGCUCGGUGCGAUCGGCACCAAGGAACAACGAAUUCUGAAGCAGUGGGCCCUCGGUGUGCACGGGGAGUCCAUUGCAUAAGAGAUGAUGCUUGGAAUCUAAUGACUCUCGGCAAUGGAUAUCUCGGCUCUUGCAUCGAUGAAGAACGUAGUGAAAUGCGAUACUUGGUGUGAAUUGCAGAAUCUCGUGAACCAUUGAGUCUUUGAACGCAAGUUGUGCCCAAGGCUUUGUGGCCGAGGGCACGUCUGCUUGGGCGUCAUGGCAUCAUCGCCUUUGCUCCUUGCUUUGCUGGCGCUAAGCGCGGAAAUUGGCCUCGUGUGCCCUCGGACACAGUCGGUCAAAGAGUGGGCAGUCGGCAGUCGUCGGGCGCGAUGGGUGCUGGGUAAACCCCUAUGCAUGUAAUAUGAACGUCGCAAGCCCUUUCAACUUAGUUCGGACGAUUCCUCGAGGUAAAGACCCUGCGGGACCGCGGCAUCACUUCAAGUGAAAGUGUCGGGUCGAACUGAAUGUGGCCCCAAGGCAGGCGAGACCCACCCGCCGAGUUUAA